CUUACUAUCUUGAACCACUCUCCUGCUGCAGGAUGCUGCCCCUUCAGAUUGGUUGGCAAGGAACUGAAAAUAUCUCAGAAAGCAACCGCCCAGGCAGUUCAGACAUCAAAAGAGAUAAUAACUCCCAACAGGCAACGGUGAGAUGCAGGACAGCUCAGCCAACAAGGCAGUGGAAUCAGUGGCUUUGGUAGGACACUUGCUGCCCAAAGCAGUGUCCCAGAAACAAAAAUAUCUUUGGAGUCCAGUUUGGAUGUGAGAAGAGAGACCUGUACUUUACCCACUCCUCUUAGAAUUCUGGCAUUUUUGUGAAUGAUUUGACAUAAAAACUAAGGAAGAUGUGAAGACUCAUCAGCUACCUUCUAUAACUAGACUGCAUAGCAUCGCAGAAAUUUUCCUUUCCCAUGGAUUGCACAGAGUGGAGAAGUGUGUUAUGUGGCUGGACAGAAAAAUCUUCAAGAAAGUGAAUAUUCCCAUCAAACAGACAUGCAGAUAAUUUAA
Molecule: non-coding RNA, 498 nt
Organism: Cyanistes caeruleus (blue tit)
Lineage: Eukaryota; Metazoa; Chordata; Aves; Passeriformes; Paridae
Source: RefSeq, a predicted model, not a curated record